Non-coding RNA from Pelobates cultripes (western spadefoot toad), 437 nucleotides. The record is from the annotation of a GenBank genome assembly. Lineage: Eukaryota; Metazoa; Chordata; Amphibia; Anura; Pelobatidae.
ACCAAAUAAGAAAUACUAGAUAACCAUAUAUAGAUAUAUAUGUACAAUAUUGUAUCCAAAUAACAUAUAUUUAUUAAAGAGUCCCAGCAAAAAGUGUUUUUGGAGAGAAGAACCUUUUGAAGAUGGUGCUUUUUUGGAGGUCAGUCUGUUAUCCUCCUUCGUGUUCAAGUAGAUAAAACUUUGGUCUUGGUUAACCCUUGUCUGCCUCAUCCUGUCUGGAUUACCUGGUUAAACUCUGCUUGCUUGAGCCUGUCCUGGGCCGCCUGGUAAACCUUUGCCUACUUGUUUAACCAGCCUAAGACUGUGGGCUCUCUGUUUUUGCCUGGAUUAUCCAAUCAAGACUUUCCUUUUGUUUUCUUGGUCCUGGCUCUACACUGUAUGGUCUUGUCCUUGAACUUUCCAGUUUAUUUGUUUUACUCAAUAAAGACUUGAAGUGA